GACGAACGCUGGCGGCGUGCUUAACACAUGCAAGUCGAACGGAAAGGCCCCUUUGGGGGUACUCGAGUGGCGAACGGGUGAGUAACACGUGAGUAACCUGCCCUUGACUUCGGGAUAACUUCAGGAAACUGGGGCUAAUACCGGAUAGGAAUCCUUGCUGCAUGGUGGGGGUUGGAAAGCUUCGGCGGUUUUGGAUGGACUCGCGGCUUAUCAGCUUGUUGGUGGGGUAGUGGCUUACCAAGGCUUUGACGGGUAGCCGGCCUGAGAGGGCGACCGGCCACAUUGGGGCCGAGAUACGGCCCAGACUCCUACGGGAGGCAGCAGUGGGGAAUAUUGCACAAUGGGCGGAAGCCUGAUGCAGCAACGCCGCGUGCGGGAUGACGGCCUUCGGGUUGUAAACCGCUUUCAGCAGGGGCGAAGCUUGUGGUGACGGUACCUGCAGAAGAAGCACCGGCUAACUACGUG
Molecule: ribosomal RNA, 465 nt
Filed under: uncultured bacterium
Lineage: Bacteria
Description: partial 16S ribosomal RNA
Rfam family: Bacterial small subunit ribosomal RNA
Source: RNAcentral